This 427-nucleotide long non-coding RNA is filed under the name Cyanistes caeruleus (blue tit). RNAcentral's name for it is "lncRNA (ENSCCEG00000010385.1)". The record is from RNAcentral. Lineage: Eukaryota; Metazoa; Chordata; Aves; Passeriformes; Paridae.
CAGGUACAAUGUUCCAUCCCUGAGCUCUUUUGAGGCCGUGUGGCUGCUGUCAUCUCACCAGGCUGGAUCAGAUCUCCCAGAAAAACCCCAGGUAGCUCCCUCAAGCCUGAACAUCCUCAUUCUCCCUCAUCACUAAGAGAAAGGGAAUGUUGUGCUGCAGAGACCUUCUCCAGGGAAGUUUGGAAAACACCAGGGACAAGCACGAGGUUCUGGGCUGCAGCCACAGGGAACAGUCCUGCUGCUUCCCACUGCUUCUUCCAGAUGUUCCUCGGCUCUACCAACUUCAUUUGGGGUCUCCCUUCAACGUCCCCCCAAGGUGCUGCACCCUGACUCGGCAGGACAAAGUCUUGGAGGCCUCUGAGGCUUCUGGAUAUCUUUGGUGUGUGUUGGCACAAAGGCAGUCCAGCCAGGACAGAUUCUCCUUGUG